UGAGGUGUAGCUCAGUAGGUUAGAGCUGGGGAAUCAUAAUCCCUGAGUCGGCGGUUCGAGUCCGCCCACCUCAACCA
RNAcentral lists this transfer RNA (77 nucleotides) under Vibrio phage vB_ValS_X1. RNAcentral describes it as "tRNA-Met". It matches the Rfam family "tRNA". Rfam says of the family: Transfer RNA (tRNA) molecules are approximately 80 nucleotides in length. Lineage: Duplodnaviria; Heunggongvirae; Uroviricota; Caudoviricetes; Demerecviridae. The record is from RNAcentral.